This 74-nucleotide transfer RNA is filed under the name Candidatus Dojkabacteria bacterium CG_4_10_14_0_2_um_filter_Dojkabacteria_WS6_41_15. Its description in RNAcentral is "tRNA-Asn". It matches the Rfam family "tRNA". Rfam says of the family: Transfer RNA (tRNA) molecules are approximately 80 nucleotides in length. RNAcentral also lists the same sequence under 1 other name. The record is from RNAcentral.
CUCGUAGUAGCUCCAAUUUGUAGAGCAAUGGGCCGUUAACUCAUUGGUUACAGGUGCGAAUCCUGUCUACGAGA